This 332-nucleotide ribosomal RNA is filed under the name uncultured eukaryote. Its description in RNAcentral is "partial 18S ribosomal RNA". It matches the Rfam family "Eukaryotic small subunit ribosomal RNA", at positions 1470 to 1796 of the family's 1831-position model. The record is from RNAcentral.
CCCUUAGAUGUUCUGGGCCGCACGCGCGCUACACUGAUGCAUUCAACGAGUUUUUCCUGGUCCGAGAGGAAUGGGUAACCUUUUGAAAGUGCAUCGUGCUAGGGAUAGACUAUUGCAAUUAUUGGUCUUCAACGAGGAAUUCCUAGUAGACGUAGUUCAUCAGACUGCAUCGAUUACGUCCCUGCCCUUUGUACACACCGCCCGUCGCUACGACCGACUGUUUCUGUCAAUGAAGCUGUAGGAUUUGGUCCUGGCCGGGCUUCACGGCCUGGCUGCGGCACUGGAGAUCACAGUUUAGUUGAUACGAAAUACAGGACGUAAAAGUCGUAACA